CAAUAGCGUAUAUUAAAGUUGUUGCAGUUAAAAAGCUCGUAGUUGAAUUUUUGGUUUGGUUGUAUUGUUCUGUCGAGAGAUGGAAACGAUGUGAUUGAAUCAAUUUUUUGUAGGGAAGAUUAUUGUCCUUUGAUGGAUGAUUAUGGGAACUACAGGAUUACUUUGAAAAAAUUAGAGUGUUUAAGGCGAGUUGAGCUUGAAUAUUUCAGCAUGGAAUAAUAGAAUAGGUCUUUGACUUUAUUUUGUUGGUUUCUAGAGUUGAGGAAAUGAUUAAUAGGGAUAGUUUGGGGCAUUAGUAUUUCAUUGUCAGAGGUGAAAUUCUUGGAUUUAUGAAAGACUAACAUUUGCGAAAGCAUUUGCCAGGGAUGUUUUCAUUAA
This 378-nucleotide ribosomal RNA is filed under the name uncultured eukaryote. RNAcentral's name for it is "partial 18S ribosomal RNA". It matches the Rfam family "Eukaryotic small subunit ribosomal RNA", at positions 592 to 976 of the family's 1831-position model. The record is from RNAcentral.